This 3475-nucleotide long non-coding RNA is filed under the name Nicotiana benthamiana. RNAcentral's name for it is "long non-coding RNA (NBEN_LNC032473)". Lineage: Eukaryota; Viridiplantae; Streptophyta; Magnoliopsida; Solanales; Solanaceae. The record is from RNAcentral.
GGGUGUGUUAAGUUAAUAGAAUCAAAAAUUUAAGGGAUGCUUUUAAAAUUACAAAAUUUUAUUUGGUUGCCCUAAAAACUCUUUAUAAAAAGAUCCUCUUUCCAAUGAUUAGGACACAGAAAAAGGAUAAGAAAAAAGGGAACAGACGGCUGAAUCUAAAGGGUUCGGAAGAAACUUCGGGUAUUCUCUAGCUUAGGGUUUCAGAGGUUAGAAUAGAAUUUUGAGUUCAUUCACUGCUGGCUUUUGCUGAGCUGAGCUAGAAACCGCAAGCUGCUUUGUUUCUUAGGCUAUUUUCCCUUUGCUGGGUAUUUUUCUAAACUUUUUUUUAAUGUUUUGAUUGAGUUGUCUUGAAUGAAAUGUUGAUUUCCUUAAACAUUUGAGCAUAAAUAAAGUUGAAAACUCUUGCAAUGUUCUUAGAAUUUUUAGCAUGUUUAAAGCUUUAAAUCUGCUUUAGUUUGUAUUCUGUUCAUUUGUUUUGUUAGUUUGUGUAAUGGUUGGAGUAUGGGGAUAAUGGAAAAAUUCUAUUAGCAUCCAGUAAUUGAUGAAACAGGCAAUUUGAGAGCCAUGUUGUCUUCUUCUUUUCCUUUUUUUUCUUACAGAAACAUUGUUUUACCUAUUUCUGAGUAGUAUGAGGCAUUAGUUACUAAAUGCCUUUUGAUUUUAAGGUAUGUUGUUCCGAAUGUUGGUUAUAGCUGAUGUUUUCUGUUAUCCGAAAUAAUGGAAAUAUUGUACCAACAUAUCAUGGAUUGGGUCUAUUGCUUUGAUUCUGCUAACUUUACUUGUGAUUCUGCUCACUUGGUCUUCUUUUCGAAAGUAGCAAAUUUGUGUGAAUUCAAUAAUUUCCAACAUAGUACUUCAAGAGAUAUUUUGUCUGAUUUAAUUUGGCUCUUGUGAUGUCAAGGUUUGCUUAUUACAAUUCAUGUUGAUUGGUAAGUUUACUGAAAAUGGUAGUAAGCCUUGAUGUUGAAAACUGUUCAAUGGUAAAUUUUGUCACACUCAUAUACGAUUUUGGGGUUGGUUAUUUGGGUUUCAACUAUUUUUAUUGAGUAAUUAGUAUGACAGAAGAGAACAAAAAAGAGGAGUACAUCGAAAGGUGUUAUUGAAUAUACAACAGAUACAUUGAGUGAGUAUCAUUUUGUUUAAUAAUUCUUUGGUUACUUCAUAUUGAGCUGUGAUCUUAGUAUAAUGAUUGAUGAUAUGUUAUUAAAUAAUUUGUCUGUAUUUAAUUUUUCAUUUUUUUUCUAUUUUUUUGUGUUCAUGUUAGCAACAUGAAAAUCAUUUUCCUAAUGCUACUCCUUUAUUACUGAUGGUUGUAAUAGUUCAAAAUAAGCCACUAGACGUUACUUGGUGUGGCAAUGUUCGGUUUUUCCUCAAUUUAGUUCUUUAAUUUGCCAAAUACUUCUUGAAAUAGCUAUAGCGAGUGUACAGAUCAGUGAGCCUAUGUGGAAAUAGGAGUCCAAUAGAUUCCGUAGCCAUAUGGCCCACCAUUUUGAGGUCUACACAAGACCUGUUGACAUCUUUGUGGUUUAGUUUCAUUUAUGUAAUGCUUGGACUUUGACCAAGGCCAUUUGUGUUCAUUUAUGACCUAUUUCAUGUGAUAAUAUCAAAUCAAACCCUUGUCUAGCAAUAGAAGGCAUAUUCACUUUAUCAAAAAUAAUAUUAGGCCAAUAUCGUGUAGGUCCAACAAUUUGCUUCAAUUAAGUUAUAUAUGUUUUUAUCCACAAAAGAAUUUCAUAACUUUUGACAUUUCACAAUAAUCUCAAACUUAAAAAUAAUUAAACAUCUAUAGUCUGUUUUAGGUAUACAAUUAAAUUAUUAUAUCUAUAGGUAUGGUUCCCGUAGUGUAAUUGUGAUACCUAAUUUUAAAUUAGAUUAAAGUAGGGGCAUAUUUAGUUUGCAUUAGUGAAAUACAAAUCUUUUAAAAUAAAUUGAGGCAUGACAUCCACAAAUGAAUCCUAUAAUCUGUAGCCCUCACAUAAAUAUAAAAUUAUUAUAGAAAUAUUUUUAAACAUUCGUAGCUUGCUUUAGGGGCAUUUAUCAUAAAAUCAUCACAGUUACGAUAAGGUUUCCGUGAUGUAGUUGUAAUAUAUAAUUCUCAAAUCAGGGCGACAUUUAUGUGACCCGGCCACAACUUCUAAUAACUUUAAUAAAUUAAACAUGUUGUAGAUCGCGGAUACGGUUCCCGUGACAUAAUUCACAAUGUGUAUCAAACAAACAAGCGUACGACAAUCAUCACUUGUUCAAGAAAUAAUUUUAUAAAUCUUAAAAGCGGUUAAAAUAAUCAAUGUAGACAUGUAAUUUUUUACUCUCCCCAAGAAUUUUUAUAUUUUUGCACGUAAAUAUUUAAUUUAGGCCUAAUAUAAUUAUUUCAGCUUUUUUUAAUCUUUUACUUUAUUUUAUUAUAAGAAAAUAAAAAUUACAAAAAAAAAUUGUUUUUUAAAUAUUUUGUAGUCAUUGUUAAUCUUGAAAACACCAAAAAUAGAUUUAUUUUAAUGGUCCGUCUUAUUUUAAUGGUUAUUUUACUUAAGUAUAAUUAAUUAAUAAAUAAGAUUGUAUUUUAGUAUCGUUUGCAGGGAAAGAAUAAAAUUUGGGUUCGAGCAAUUUAUUGUUAGGCCUAAUUUUUGAACCCAACACAUAAUUUUCGAACCCAUUAAGCUAACUUUAGGUAUCCUUCUAGACUCUUUUUUGGAAUACAAAAUAAAUAAAAAAUCCUAAGAAUCUAAGAGAAAUUAGCACCAAAGUACAUAUUUAGAGACCUAUAUAACUGGGGAUACACACAAUCAACCGCCGACUUUAAGAAUCAGCUGAAAUGCAUGAGAUACACAAAGAAUGGCUAAGAGAGAUAUACAUACAGUAGCACCGUAACACCUCCUACUUCUUCUUCUUCAACCAUUGACGAUUUUCAUUGAAUCGCAGCUAACUCACGUAGAAGGAAGGUAUUGCUACUCGAGCAAAAGAACAGUAAUAAUACUUUGAGGAUAAGGUUUUGGUCGCUUAGAUUUGGCAGCGAAGUUAUCCGUGCCGAGGUUGAAUCCGACGAGAAAUCUGGCGAGUUUCGACGUCUGGGUGAAGUUCCGUCGAGGGUCAGCAAAUUUUCAGGUCGAGGUCAGUGUCGAGUCUCAGAUUCAUGUAAAGUUUCGUUUUAGCCUCACUCUUGACUGAUAUAGAACUUCUGAAUUUCAUAAUGCAUGUUGAAUGAAGAAGUGUUGUUAAUGAGCAUUUGUAUAUAUGUGUUUGACAAAUUUGAGUUGUUCUGCUUCAUUUUCAUGAAUGUUUGUUUUAUAAUAACGUAUAUCAUCAGUAGUAUAUGCCUUAACUACUGAUGUUUGGUUGUUUCUGUGAAUUAACUUUCGUUGUGUGGAAUUUGAGAUACAUAUUUUACAGCUCAUAGUGCUAUUCGUAUAUGCAUAAAUGUUCAGCUGGUUCCUUUUUUAUAAGAGCAUGUAAAGCAAAUAGAAAUGACUUUUGAUGUUGG